AAACUUUCAACAACGGAUCUCUUGGUUCUGGCAUCGAUGAAGAACGCAGCAAAAUGCGAUANGUAAUGUGAAUUGCAGAAUUCAGUGAAUCAUCGAAUCUUUGAACGCACAUUGCGCCCGCCAGUAUUCUGGCGGGCAUGCCUGUUCGAGCGUCAUUU
This 158-nucleotide ribosomal RNA is filed under the name Fusarium poae. RNAcentral's name for it is "5.8S ribosomal RNA". It matches the Rfam family "5.8S ribosomal RNA". From Rfam's summary of the family: 5.8S ribosomal RNA (5.8S rRNA) is a component of the large subunit of the eukaryotic ribosome. It is transcribed by RNA polymerase I as part of the 45S precursor that also contains 18S and 28S rRNA. Functionally, it is thought that 5.8S rRNA may be involved in ribosome translocation. The record is from RNAcentral. Lineage: Eukaryota; Fungi; Ascomycota; Sordariomycetes; Hypocreales; Nectriaceae.